AUGGCGGCAUCUAUGCGCUCUCAGCUGAAGCUACUCGUGUCGCAGGGGAGGCGACCGUGGAGCUAUCCUAUUCUUAACUCUUCUCUUAGCAGUACCAGGAGCGACCCUCCGCACAAGAUUCAUGAUCCCACCGGUGGUCAUCCAGCCGAUAAAGCCGGGGACACUCCCGCCGUUCAGCAGCCUCCACCCGCUCCUGCAGUUUCAGAUCUUGACCACCUCCCAAGUCCCAAACACAUAGGACACGAUGGUGCACUUGUGCCCGAUCUGGCCGCCAAGCCGAAGCUUGGCAGUUCCACCAGUUUCCCUCGACGCAAAAUUUAUGAUCCUGUCAGCAAUUACUCCUUUCAUGAAGAAUCAUGA
Molecule: ribosomal RNA, 360 nt
Filed under: Triticum aestivum (bread wheat)
Lineage: Eukaryota; Viridiplantae; Streptophyta; Magnoliopsida; Poales; Poaceae
Description: partial small subunit ribosomal RNA
Source: RNAcentral